This 496-nucleotide ribosomal RNA is filed under the name uncultured bacterium. Its description in RNAcentral is "partial 16S ribosomal RNA". It matches the Rfam family "Bacterial small subunit ribosomal RNA", at positions 28 to 507 of the family's 1533-position model. The record is from RNAcentral.
GACGAACGCUGGCGGCGUGCCUAAUACAUGCGAGUCGAGCGAACCAAUGGGAGCUUGCUCCCUGAGGUUAGCGGCGGACGGGUGAGUAACACGUGGGUAACCUGCCUGUAAGAUUGGGAUAACUCCGGGAAACCGGAGCUAAUACCGGAUAAUAUUUUGAACCGCAUGGUUCAAAAUUGAAAGACGGCUUCGGCUGUCACUUACAGAUGGACCCGCGGCGCAUUAGCUAGUUGGUGAGGUAACGGCUCACCAAGGCGACGAUGCGUAGCCGACCUGAGAGGGUGAUCGGCCACACUGGGACUGAGACACGGCCCAGACUCCUACGGGAGGCAGCAGUAGGGAAUCUUCCGCAAUGGACGAAAGUCUGACGGAGCAACGCCGCGUGAACGAUGAAGGCCUUCGGGUCGUAAAGUUCUGUUGUUAGGGAAGAACAAGUACCAGAGUAACUGCUGGUACCUUGACGGUACCUAACCAGAAAGCCACGGCUAACUACGUG